AUCUACGGUGGUCAAGUUGUACUUUCUUAGGAAAAAUGUCAAACCGUACUUGUCCAUUUGACCCAAAUAUGAAUUUGAAAACUUCCGUGGUAUUUUUGUGAAGCCCAGGCCCAUGUCAGCUGAAGCCAACCCAAAACCCCUUAAUACGAUGCCGUUUUCUCUUCCAGGUAAGAUCCUUUUCAGUUUCUCCCUCACCCAAUUUUUCCUCCUUCUAUUUUGCAUUUUGUGAGUUUUCUCAUUUAAUUCUUGACGGUUUUCUUCUCUCCCAAAACCCUUCCUCUCAACCGUAUCUCUUUUCCCUCACAAUCAGUUUCUCUCUCAAGUUGACGCCCUCUCUCUUACUCCUCUAUUUUCUGUGUUUCUGCUUUGAGAUUUCAGGUAGUGUCGCUGCGAUUUUUCCCUCACUAAUCUCCCCUUUAGACGCUCACCCACUCUCGUUUCUCUCUUGUUCUCUCCCGUCUGUGAAGUAGUUAACCUCAGUGCCGAGGUGUUGACGUCGAGCCCUGUCGAACAAAGGUGACGAGAUUAUUAGAGGUCGAAUUCAAGGCAUAUAUAAUACACUGCAGGAGUCAGAUGAUAUGGAGAGUCCAACUGAGGACCUGGAUUAGGAAUGGUGAGCAUGAUUAAGCUGAGGAAAGGAUGUUAAAUGAAGAAAUACUAAUGUCUUUUAGAUUUGAUGUCUUUUAGAUUUAAUUAUGUUUUUGCUUUAGUAGGACUUAUGGAAUUAUCAAUUUGCUACGUUAUGACUACCAGGAGAUUGUGGACCCCUUGGUUUAUUAUUAUUGCAAUAAUGACUUU
Molecule: long non-coding RNA, 798 nt
Organism: Juglans regia (Persian walnut)
Lineage: Eukaryota; Viridiplantae; Streptophyta; Magnoliopsida; Fagales; Juglandaceae
Exons: 3
Source: RefSeq, a predicted model, not a curated record